RNAcentral lists this ribosomal RNA (255 nucleotides) under uncultured bacterium. RNAcentral describes it as "partial 16S ribosomal RNA". It matches the Rfam family "Bacterial small subunit ribosomal RNA", at positions 524 to 776 of the family's 1533-position model. The record is from RNAcentral.
UACGUAGGGUGCAAGCGUUAUCCGGAAUUAUUGGGCGUAAAGAGCUCGUAGGCGGUUGUGCGCUCUCGCUGUGAAAACCCGAGGCUCAACCUCGGGCCUGCAGUGGGUACGGGCAGACUAGAGUGCGGUAGGGGGAGAAUUGGAAUUCCUGGUGUAGCGGUGGAAUGCGCAGAUAUCAGGAGGAACACCGAUGGCGAAGGCAGUUCUCUGGGCCGUAACUGACGCUGAGGAGCGAAAGCGUGGGGAGCGAACAGG